CUCAAGCAUGUUCACACUGAUGGUUUAGCAAAGUAUUUUUUUCAACGACAUCAGAACGUCCUGAAAGACUUGUGAUGAUUGCGCUACACAAACAUCUUGCCAGCUUUCCGUGAUUAUGGACUAUUGCCCACAAAAUGGUUUAGAGGCCCAGGGGAUGGGACCACAAAUUGCUUAAUCCAAUACUGAUGAGAAAAUGAUGUUCUGCUCAGAGACGAGGCUGAAAACAGACCCUCUGCUUUCUCUAUGCCCUGAUUUCCUUGGCUACUGGGAAGUGAGGAGCCCCUUUGCCCAGCUGCUGCCCGUCUGGGAAGACAGGAGGGCCUCUGCCCAGCUGCUGCUCCAUCUAGGAAGUGAGGAGCGCCUCUGCCCACCCCCGGCAUCAUCUAGGAAGUGAGAAGCACCUCUGCCCGGUGGCCAACAUCUGGGAAGUUGGAGCACCUCUGCCUGGCCACUGCACUGUCUGGGAAGUGAGGAGCGCCUCUGCCCAGCGCCGCACUGUCUGGGAAGUGAGGAGUUCCUCUGCCUGGCCUCCACACUGUCUGGGAAGUGAGGAGUUCCUCUGCCCUGCCGAGGCCCUGUCUGGGAAGUGAGGAGCGCAUAUGCCCGGCCGCCCCCCUCGUCUGGGAAGUGAGGAGCCCCUCUGCCCUGCCGCCCAACUGACUGGAAAGACAGGAGUGCCUCUGUCUGGCCGCCACCCUGUCUGGGAAGAGAGGAGUGCCUCUGCCUGGCUGCCCACCUUCUGGGAAGUGAGGAGCACCUCUGCCCUGCUGCCCAAUUGACUGGGAAGAGAGGAGCACCUCUGCCCAGCUGCCCACCUUCUGGGAAGCAACCCUCCAAGUGUGAAGUGACAGCCUUGUGUGUGAUCUUUCUGCCCUCCCCAAGUUUGCAUUUUUUGACACUAAAGUUUACUUUUUAAUUAAAAAAAAAUUCCUUUGCUAUUAGGGCUUUUUAGUUCCAUACGAAUUUUAAAAAUAAGUUUUGCUAGUUCUGUGAAGAAUGUCGUUGGUAAUUUAAUAGAAAUAGCAUUGAAUCUGUAAAUUGCUUUGGGCAGUAUGGCCCUUUUAAUGAUACUGAGUCUUCCUAUCCAAGAGCAUGGAAUGUUUUUAUAUUUGUUUAUGUCAUCUCUGAUUUCUUUGAGCAGUGUUUUGUAAACUUCAUUGUAGAGAUCUUUCACCUCCCUAGUUAGCUGUAUUCCUGGGUAUUUUAUUCUUUUUGUGGCAAUUGUGAAUGAAAUUGCAUUCCUGACUUGGCUCUCAGUUUGACUAUUGUUGGGCUUACCAGUUUCUGAUCAGGACAAUUUCUGGAAUUCAUUCUGUCUCUUCAAGUUCUUUGCACAGUAACUUUUCCUUAGGCCCCUUAAUCUGUCACUGAGGAAAAUUUUAAGAAAAUACAGAAUGGUGCAGGAUUAAAAUGGCCAUCGAUCCCACCUCACCACAAAGGGUUGGCUUUGUGUUUGCAGCCUGCUUUUCUCUUCCUCAAUUGUUUUGGCACAACUGGCUGAACAAAUAGUGUUUUGGAGUGUGAAAUGAUGAAAUAGUGUUUUAACAUGAAACUCCAUGGCAACAAUGUAAUGCAUUCAUGGUAAGGGGCACAGUCAUAAGAUGUGACUCUGCCAAUGUUUGAUAUUUUACUAGUGUGUACAAACUAAUUAAACUGAUUGCACUAUAAGCAUGACUUGAUAUUUCCAUGUACUUUCCUCUGACAGAAAAAGUGUCAAAUGUAAAAUCUGAUCUUAAAUAAAGGCCUG
Molecule: long non-coding RNA, 1747 nt
Filed under: Homo sapiens (human)
Lineage: Eukaryota; Metazoa; Chordata; Mammalia; Primates; Hominidae
Description: HSALNT0123043
Source: RNAcentral